This 519-nucleotide ribosomal RNA is filed under the name uncultured bacterium. Its description in RNAcentral is "partial 16S ribosomal RNA". It matches the Rfam family "Bacterial small subunit ribosomal RNA", at positions 28 to 523 of the family's 1533-position model. The record is from RNAcentral.
AACGAACGCUGGCGGCGUGCCUAACACAUGCAAGUCGUGCGAGAAAGUUCCUUCGGGAGCGAGUAAAGCGGCGCACGGGUGAGUAACACGUAGGUAACCUGCCCCUUGGUCUGGAACAACUGGAGGCAACUCCAGCUAAUGCCGGAUAAGACAACGGCCCCUUCGGGGGCUGCGGCCAAAGAUGGCCUCUGCUUGCAUGCUAUCGCCUCGGGAUGGGCCUGCGGGCCCUUAGCUAGUUGGUGAGGUAACGGCUCACCAAGGCCGUGAUGGCCAGCUGGUCUGAGAGGAUGACCAGCCACACUGGGACUGAGACACGGCCCAGACUCCUACGGGAGGCAGCAGUGGGGAAUAUUGCGCAAUGGGCGAAAGCCUGACGCAGCGACGCCGCGUGGGUGAUGAAGGCCUUCGGGUCGUAAAGCCCUGUCGCAGGGGAAGAAUAAGCGGUGGGAUAAUACCCCGCCGCCCUGACGGUACCCUGCAAGAAAGCACCGGCUAACUCCGUGCCAGCCGCCGCCGUAA